This is a long non-coding RNA of Vespa mandarinia (Asian giant hornet), 550 nucleotides long. The record is from RefSeq and is a predicted model, not a curated record. NCBI's taxonomy places the organism in Eukaryota, Metazoa, Arthropoda, Insecta, Hymenoptera, Vespidae.
UAUAUUGUAGAAAAUAUUUAAUAGUCGAGAUAAGAUUACUGUUUAUUUCAUCCCAAUGCCUGAGAGUGUUGGGACGUCGUAAAUUGGAUAAGUGAUUUUUUAUUAUAUCGGUAAUAUAAUUUUGAGACGGACGUUAACAUGAAAAUUAGUAGUGAUAAUUUAAAAUUAUUCUUCGGUGAUCUUUCUUUUCAAUUCGAAGAUUCGGGAAAAUGAAAUGUGAAAAACUAUGUUGGGGAUGAAAGGAUUUCGAUCAAUCGUAGAUCUUGUCGCAGGAGUGGAGUUAAUAGGACUUAGGAUUUAUAGGAUGAAGUAGAAAAGAGAGAGAAAAAACCAGAAACUCGCAUAAUUUUUAUAAUAAAAUUGAUAUAUAAAAUAUCUAUUCAAAAUCUGAAUUAAAGGAGUAUGAAAAUGUAAAUAAAUUAAAUAUUAUAAUUUACGUUGCGAUCAAGAGGGAAAAAAAGAAAAAAAAAAAAGAAAAGGAAGGAAAAAAGAGUCUCACGUAAUACAAGAGUGGAAAAAGUCUCACGUAAUUUAUUAAAAAAAAAGAAAA